AAUCAAACUUCUAUGGGUUAACAAUCGCAGCAAUUCUGUUGUAGGUUUUUGCUCAAGUUAAAAUCAUAUGUGCGAAAUAAACGAUAUCCUGAAGGAUCUAUUGCUGAAGGAUUUUUAGUAGAGGAAUGUGUCACUUUUUGUUCUAGAUAUUUGGUUGAUGUUGAAACAAUAUUUGAUAGACCUGGGAGAAAUUUAACAUAAGUGCAACAUGAGCUACUUGCAAAGUCGUAUUUAUUUGAAAGUAUUGGAUAACCAAUAGGGAAAGUGGAAGUAGCAGAGUUAGAUGAUAGAUCAUGGGUACAAGCACAUCGUUAUGUAUUAUUUCACUAUAAAGCUAUUAAAUCACUCCAAAUGUAAGUUAAACACUUCACAUUUCUUAUUUAGUGUGUUAGAAUUUUUUAACAUUUUUUAUCAUUACUUGUAGUUAGUAUAGAAAUAUCUUGAAAGAUCAAACAAGAGGUCGAUGUUCAAAUGCUCGUGAUCUCGAUAGGAAAUUUACGGAAACUUUUCAUGAAUGGUUGGGAGAAACGGUAAGCAACUAGAAAAUAUUAUAACUUGAACAAUUCUCUAUUGGUAUUGUUAUAAUUAGAUUCAUGUAACUUGUAUAGGUUUCUCAUGGAAAAAAUGUGUCAGAAGAAAUUAAAUUUCUUGCGCAAGGUACAAAUAAGAUUGUUAAGAGAUAUAAAGGACUUGUCAUUAAUGGAUUUCGAUUCAAUACUAAAUCUCGAGAAGAAUUUAGGCGAACCCAAAAUUCUAGGUGUCUUGUUACUUCUUUAACUAUGAGCUAUGCUAGUGCUAGGGAUACUAAUCCAUUGGAAGGAAAUGUUGACUACUAUGGGGUGCUAAAUUAUAUAAUUGAGUUAGACUACUUUAACAAGUUCAAAGUUGUGUUAUUUCAUUGUGAUUGGGCUGAUGUGAAUAAUAGUAGGGGGGGUCAAGAAAGAUAGAUAUGGAUUUAUAAUGGUAAAAAUCUCUGGUAUGAUUCACCCUGGCAAACAUAUCCUCGAUGAGCCUUAUAUGUUUUCAUCACAAGUGAAGCAAGUUUUUUAUUCUGAAGAUCCCAAAGAACCUAGUUGGUUUGUUGUGAUACGUAAUCAACCAAGAGAAGUGUAUGACAUGGGUGAUGAAAUAACAGAUGAUGGACCUCGGACUGAAUUUUUCCCUUCCUCUCAUGAGAGUAUCUUCAAUGAUAAUGAAUUUUUCCCUUCCUCUCAUGAAGCUUUUUCAAUUUUUUUUCUGGAAUAUAUAAUUGUAAUAGUUUUUAUGUUUAAGGCCAACAAGUAUGGACUAUAUGUGCCCAAAUUUUAUCUUUUGGUGGGAAAAUAUUUUUUUGAAGAAAUCCAGAGUGUUAAUGGAGUUUUAUGUACGGACUACAAGGCUCUUUUAGCUCAUUUUAGUGUAACAUAUCCAAUCAUCUAAUAAAGUGAGCAUCACAUGACAUGCUGAUCAAGUUCUUUUUCUUUUGUAUGGUUACAUUUAUGGUUCAAAUUCCAAUAUUUCAGUUUUUUUGGGAAAAUACAUUAAUAUAGUAGUUUUUUGAGUCAUGAUUCUAUGCUACAAUUAGUGAGCAUCAAUAUUCUCCACAAGCAACUAGUAAUUGAUUAUGUAAAGCAUGGAUGGAGUAAUUAACCUUUACCUUUGUAUAUUUAACUUUAGCUGACACCGGGGGAUUUUGGUGAGGUUUUGAACGAUCAGAUAUCCAAACAUGCAAGUUAAACAUCAUGUUUAAGAAGUCCUUUGAUGUGAAAUCCCACCAACGCUUGUCUGGAGCUGAUAAUAAACAAAAAAAUCAAAAGAAAAUUCAUCAUCACAAAUCUUCCUCUAUUUCUUCAAGUCUAUAACCAAACAAGUACCAGCUUCCAAGGAUGCACCUACUAAUGUUUCAAGAUCAAGGAAUUGCAUAUAUAAAGUCUUAGAACAACUUUCAUUACGCAACUCAUCCUCUUAAUAUUUGGCCUAUUGUCAAAAGAAAUAAAGAGACUAAUAUUAAGAAUGAGUCUCUGCCUAUUUAAGAUUGUCUGCAUCAUGGAUAAAAAGAACUUUAUUUCUUCUUCUCAUUAUGCUUUGCUUUUAUCAGAAUCUUCCUUUAAUGACUUAAAAGCAUGGUCUUAAUUAUGUUAAUUAGUAUUUAAGUGUUCUUCAUGGUGGACAAUGCAUUAAUUUUUAUGUGUUUCUGAUGAUGAUGCUUGGAUUAUUGUUAGUUGGCAUUUGAAUUGCUCCACUGCCCUAACAUUAGUCUGAAAAUGAUGGUGCUUGCUCUCAGGGUCCUACUAACAUGGAUGUCUUUUUCUAACUCACAUAAUGUAGUUGAUGCUACAAGUGACCAUUCCAUGAAUAAGUAUAUGAUGAUUACUAUAAGGAAAGAGGAUGACAUAAAUAUGAUAUAUUUAUGCUACAAGUGACCAUUCCAUGAACUCAAGUUUUUGUGGGAAAUGGCCUCCUGUGUGUGAUGGUGAAAGCAGCUGGUUGCUUGAAAGAUUUAUGAGUGGAAGACAAGGAAUGUGUAGAUAGUCAUAAAACUGGUGUGGAGACUACUUUUGAUUAGAAGAAACAAAGUAGGAUACUAAUUAUUUCUUACCCCCAUCUACUCCUCCCUAAAGAUUGGAAAUCUUCAUAGCCUGUUUAAUCAUUUUUCUUGCAUCUAUUAUUUGAUAUACGACACAGAUUAGUCAUUUUGGCACUGUGACUUCUGUUUUGCAUCUCAUCUCUAAUUUGAAUCAUUGUGUGAAGAUGAUUUGUAAUGUUUCUUUUUCUCGCUAACUGUUUAAAAACUAUCUACAUAUUUUUUGUUGUCUUGCAUUACAAAAGCAACCUCCGUAUUUUUGUUUUGUUUUGGCAAUUCUGAUUUAUUGAGAUAUGUAUGUGGUGGUGAUGUACAUUUAGAAAAGAUGAUGUAUGAUUUAAAUGUCCUUAUGAAAUAAGUUGUCAAUUUUGUUUUCGAUAGAAACAUAUGCUUUAUAUUGAAUGCUCUGUUCUAUUUGUUGUGAUAAUGAUUAAUGAGCAUAUACAUGGCCUUAUCAAAAACUUAAUUACUUCGUAUUCAUUAUAUCGUAUUCAUUUUGGCUAUGUCAGCAUUCAGAUAAUGUUGUUGUUUUUUGAUAUCAGGUGUGCAUAUAAUGGUGUUCUUGUGGUUUUGUUGUUCUCAUUCAGCUUAUUUGCAUUAGCUCCUCUUGCCAAGCGUAUAAGAGAAAAUAUGCCGAAAUUAAAAUUGAAGUGUAUGAAAAUGGUCGUGUCAGAACCUGCUCCAAAUAAUGGUACUAGGUGUGACGCUGGUGUGGGUGUUAGAAUGAGCAACACUAGCAACUCCAAUUCAUCAGCCUCUCUUGGUUCUAAUAGAUCUGCUCCAACACUUUAUGUUGCUACUCAUUGCUCGGUCCCAUCAUCUUCAGCUGAUUCAAAUCAUAAUGAACAAGUGUCAAACCAAAAUAAUAGUACCAGAAUAGAGAAUGUUCCCGCAGUUAAUGAAGCAGAAAAUUUAAACGCAAUUGAUAGAAAUGGACAAAAAAAAAGAGGCUUAACUACUUUGAAAGACUUGUGGUCAUUACCACCAGAAGAGAGGAUUAUGGUGAGUGCAAAUCAUUUGGGACAACCAAUUGGGCCCGAAGCACAACUACUAGCUGGAUUUCUCGGCAUGCUUGCUCGAACUGGUCAACAAAUUGGCAUCCAAUAUGAGAGUUGGCAUAAAGUGCCAAAAAAAUUAAAGGAUAAAUUAUUCAAAUUUAUUGAGUUACGAUUUGCUCUUGAUAUUUCAAAAGAGUAUGUGCUUAAGUCUUUGGGGAAGAAAUGGAGAGAUUACAAGCAUGAUUUGAAAAAGUGUCAUUUCAAACGUGAAGAUGGUUUGCAAGUGAACAAAGAUAAACAUCCAAACACAACCAUUCGAUGGCAAUGGGAACAAUUAGUCGAUUAUUGGUAUUCAAAUAAAGGAGUGAAAGACUUGGAGUUGCUAGCAGAAAACAACAAAAAUAUACUCAUACAUCUGGAUCAAAGAUCUUUGCUAGAAAGGAAAAGGAAAAGGAAAUGGAGGUUAACAAUGGAAGAAAAGUAGGACGCCUCAAAUUUUUUAAUGCAACUCAUACCAAAAAGGAUGGUUCUCACAUGAAUGUGGAAACUGAACAAAUUAUGAAUCAGCCUUCUAGAGAUGAGUUGUGGCAUUCAUCAAGCUAUGGAGGAUUUUUAUUUAUCUUUGAUUUCUUUUGUAUUAUUUGGAGGAAGACAAGAAUCACAAACCUAACUGUGUACUAAUUAAUAUCGAAGACUUUUGUGACUUCUAAUUGGUUUUAAAUUAUUAAACAUCAACAAUUG
Dioscorea cayenensis subsp. rotundata (Guinea yam) is the source of this 4302-nucleotide RNA transcript. RefSeq lists it as uncharacterized. The transcript is spliced from 8 exons. NCBI's taxonomy places the organism in Eukaryota, Viridiplantae, Streptophyta, Magnoliopsida, Dioscoreales, Dioscoreaceae. The record is from RefSeq and is a predicted model, not a curated record.